UGGGCCUACGGGGGGCAGCAGUGGGGAAUAUUGCACAAUGGGGGGAACCCUGAUGCAGCGACGCCGCGUGGGUGAAGAAGUCAUUCGUGACGUAAAGCCCUAUCAGCAGGGAAGAAAAUGACGGUACCUGACUAAGAAGCCCCGGCUAACUACGUGCCAGCAGCCGCGGUAAUACGUAGGGGGCGAGCGUUAUCCGGAUUUACUGGGUGUAAAGGGAGCGUAGACGGUUCUGCAAGUCUGAAGUGAAAGCCCGUGGCUUAACCGCGGAACGGCUUUGGAAACUGUGGAACUGGAGUGCUGGAUAG
RNAcentral lists this ribosomal RNA (305 nucleotides) under uncultured bacterium. RNAcentral's name for it is "bacterial SSU rRNA". It matches the Rfam family "Bacterial small subunit ribosomal RNA", at positions 334 to 656 of the family's 1533-position model. The record is from RNAcentral.